Molecule: long non-coding RNA, 2250 nt
Organism: Pieris napi
Lineage: Eukaryota; Metazoa; Arthropoda; Insecta; Lepidoptera; Pieridae
Exons: 3
Source: RefSeq, a predicted model, not a curated record
GCGGAAUAAACAAUUGCGAUUUAAUCUUGUCACACGGUUCAAAACGGUCAUGUCAGGUUCACGAGCGGUCAAAUGUGAUGUCACCUUAUCAUCCACUCAAGACUAAAGUUACAUACAGUUUCUAUAUCAGUUUAAAAAGUAAAAAUGAAGCACUACGUCGUAUUUGUUCUACUAAUUAUCAGUGUGCAAUGCAUGUCCAAUCCACGGAUAACAAGGCAGGCUGACGAUUAUGACGAUGGCAUGGGGUUUAAUAGCAACGGUAGAGGUGGUGAUGAUGACUUCAUUGCUAACUCUUCGAGUUGUCCCGCAGGGAUGACUAGAGCACCGUGGGGCGCUUGUAUAGCGUGUUACGAAUACCGGCAAAAAUUUGGCCAUGCGGGAGAUAACUGCUAAGGGAAACUAUAAAAAUGUUAAUUAGAUAAGCCACUUCAAAAAUUAAAUUUCUUUACUUCCUUUCGUCAUUGUACAUAACAUAACAGUCGAAGACCGGAAUGAUAAAAUAAUAAAUAUACCUGUUAAAUUAAAUAGUAUUAAAAAUAUUAAUACAGCAUGCCCUCUUAGGAUGAAAUGUAGUUCCGGGAUCAUGGAAUUUCAUAGAUAAUAAAUUAUACUAUUAGCAGACUUUACACCCAUGGAGUAUUUGUCAAUGAAUUCGAAAAGGGGUUAUCUUUCAAUUAGAUAUAGCGCCAUGACCCAAUGGCCGUUACCCGGGGUCUAUUUGUACGAAGAAACUGUAAUUAUUAUCACAAGACUAUUAAUAUAAUGACACCGAGAACCUAAAUGCCUAUGAUUAUAAAAUGAUAAUAACAAUAAAGUCUUUUUUAUUUCCAUAUCCUUAAGUUCCAUUUCAAAUAUUGUUAAUAUUACUUAUAGCUAAAUGUUAGUAGUAAUAAGUCGCCUGUGAAUAUGUACCCCUUUUGGGUGAAGGACUCCCCCAACCCUUACUAAAUGUCUCCAUCUUUACCUCCAUCCUUAUCUAAUAGUCUGCCAAGCUUUUCCUGCGAUUUCUUUCAAGUCAUCAGCCAACCAUCUAUUUGGCCUGCCCACUUUUCUUUUCCCGGGUGGUAACUUCCGUUGUGUUUUCUAUGAUGUGCAUUUGUUGUUAUAUGGCAUCGUUUUAUUUUCUUUUUUGCCUGACUUGGUGUCGAACACUUUUGAUUUGGUGUAUCUUCUUUUAAUUAAAUAUACUUCUUCUUCUGAAAUAUGAAUACCCUAGUUUCGCAACCAUAUAACAAUAUAUAAUAAAAAAAAUCAUUUAUUUAAAUAGGUAACACAAUGUACACUUAUGAACGUCAAAAAUAAAUAUACAUUAAAUGCUUCUAAAUCUACAUUUUCUAGAGGGCAGUGUAUUUAUGUCUAUUACAUUAAUUUUCGAAAAAUCAUUAAUUAAUCUAAAUCAAAUAAAUUUAUCAACGCAAGAGACGCAAAUAAAACUAUUAUGAGCGGUGAUUCGAAAUUAUAUGUAAUUUCAGCGAAUAGAUAUGAUAUUUGCUAACUGAGUUGACGACGUCAAAAAAAAAUGAAACAAAAUGUCACGCUACUUUAGACUUAAUAUCCUUACACUAAUGAAGAACUUUAAGCGUUACAUUGGAUUUAGAGGGCCCUCCUCUAAACACACAAAAGAGUGUCGUAAGCAAAAUAAAUAAUAAAAUACUUGGUACUUGGACACAAUGAAUUAUUUAUUUGAAAAAAAGAUUUUUUUUUAAAUCCAUCUGCAAUCAGCCUCUUGGUUUUUAUCAGAUUUUAUGAAAUGAUGGCAAUUAGGGAACGCAAAUGCAAUUAUUUUUUAUUUCCCUUCGUUUUCGUAAACUAUCAAACUGUGUCGUUUCCAACAGGCCCGAAGCCAGGGGAUUGACGUGUUGCUGAUAAAAAUUUAGUAUUAUAUUUGUUGCCCGAAGCCGCCAGACCUCUAUCCGGUAUUAAGCGUCUGAGCUUCAUUGUUUGUCUCACUUCUUCAAUAAAUAAAACACUUGAAACUCGCAAGGAACAACUUAAAAUUAAAACGUAAUCAGUCGAAAAAUUUGUCAUGAAUGAAUACGUUGUCUUUGUUUUAAUUAUUCUCAGUGUACACUUUAUGCACGAACUGGACGCAUACAAAUAUAUUGUCAAUAUAUCAAAAUGUCCCAUAGGGACAACAAGAUCGCUAUGGGGUGAAUGUAUCAAUUGUAAUAGAUACUAUGAAGUAUUUGGUUACGGCGGGGAGAACUGCUAGUGACUUAUCAAGAAGAAAUUAUAAAUAUAUUUUAAAAU